RNAcentral lists this long non-coding RNA (635 nucleotides) under Olea europaea (common olive). RNAcentral describes it as "long non-coding RNA (OEUR_LNC014019)". The record is from RNAcentral. Lineage: Eukaryota; Viridiplantae; Streptophyta; Magnoliopsida; Lamiales; Oleaceae.
AUUUAUGGAUGAAUGGAUGUGUGGUGGAAACACAUUUCCUCUCUUCUCAGUGCUCAAAGUUUAUUUCGUAUGUUACAAAGAGUGAGUUCUGUUAAACUUUGUCUAAUUUCCCUUUUUCCCCCCUCUCUGUUUGAUAUGAUGUCAAACCCCAAUGGCACGUUGAACUUUUCUUGAAUUUUGGUAGUGAAAUUGGCUCUUGAUUUAUAUUUAUUUCACUUUUGCAUAAACCUUAAAGGUCCUUAAAGGUUUCUUAAUUAUUAAGUAACUUCAGCUUUUUUAGGCUUUGACAAUCAUGUCCUUACUUGUUAUCCUCUUUAGAGCUAGUCAUAAAUGCAGUAAUAAUGUCCAUUGAAUAUUUUGAGGUGUUAGAUUAUUUUAAUCUGAUAAAAAUGAUUAGAGAUACCACAAUCAAAAGGAGCAAACGACAUUUUUGUUUUAUUUUCUAAUGUCACUGUACUGAAUUAUAACAGAAAUGGAGUAGCAUCAAGCUGAGAUUGAAACUGAGUCAACCCGAGCAUUGAGGUAUAAUUUUUUCAUUCAAAGAAUACGGGGGAAGAAUGGCGAGCUUCUUUCUUGUUUGAAUAUUUUCUUCCGAUGUGGUUCUGAUUUUUGAAUUCGAUAAAUAAUCGUUGAAU